GUGGUCAGGUUGGCAGGCCAAAGGCGGGCCUGAUCAUUUAUUGGUCUGAUUCACCAAAUCAAGUCAUGUUAAUGGUUGGACCUAACCAGAUCUUUUCAGUGGAGGCCAAAGCCUACUGAUUAGGUUCUGGGGCAAAAUUAAUUACUAGAAGUUGUUUAGAGAAAUAACUGGUUAUGAACCUACCCAUAGAUGCACAUGGAUUGACCAACCAAAGUUGGGCUCGUGUG
Molecule: long non-coding RNA, 227 nt
Filed under: Elaeis guineensis (African oil palm)
Lineage: Eukaryota; Viridiplantae; Streptophyta; Magnoliopsida; Arecales; Arecaceae
Description: long non-coding RNA (EGUI_LNC073396)
Source: RNAcentral